Molecule: ribosomal RNA, 866 nt
Filed under: uncultured bacterium
Lineage: Bacteria
Description: bacterial SSU rRNA
Rfam family: Bacterial small subunit ribosomal RNA
Source: RNAcentral
GCUGCGGCAGCCUAACACAUGCAAGUCGAGCGGUAGAGAGAAGCUUGCUUCUCUUGAGAGCGGCGGACGGGUGAGUAAUGCCUAGGAAUCUGCCUGGUAGUGGGGGAUAACGUUCGGAAACGGACGCUAAUACCGCAUACGUCUACGGGAGAAAGCAGGGGACUUUCGGGCCCUUGCGCUAUCAGAUGAGCCUAGGUCGGAUUAGCUAGUUGGUGAGGUAAUGGCUCACCAAGGCGACGAUCCGUAACUGGUCUGAGAGGAUGAUCAGUCACACUGGAACUGAGACACGGUCCAGACUCCUACGGGAGGCAGCAGUGGGGAAUAUUGGACAAUGGGCGAAAGCCUGAUCCAGCCAUGCCGCGUGUGUGAAGAAGGUCUUCGGAUUGUAAAGCACUUUAAGUUGGGAGGAAGGGUUGUAACCUAAUACGUUGCAAUUUUGACGUUACCGACAGAAUAAGCACCGGCUAACUCUGUGCCAGCAGCCGCGGUAAUACAGAGGGUGCAAGCGUUAAUCGGAAUUACUGGGCGUAAAGCGCGCGUAGGUGGUUCGUUAAGUUGGAUGUGAAAUCCCCGGGCUCAACCUGGGAACUGCAUUCAAAACUGUCGAGCUAGAGUAUGGUAGAGGGUGGUGGAAUUUCCUGUGUAGCGGUGAAAUGCGUAGAUAUAGGAAGGAACACCAGUGGCGAAGGCGACCACCUGGACUGAUACUGACACUGAGGUGCGAAAGCGUGGGGAGCAAACAGGAUUAGAUACCCUGGUAGUCCACGCCGUAAACGAUGUCAACUAGCCGUUGGGAGCCUUGAGCUCUUAGUGGCGCAGCUAACGCAUUAAGUUGACCGCCUGGGGAGUACGGCCGCAAGGUUAAA